Molecule: small RNA, 440 nt
Filed under: Pan troglodytes (chimpanzee)
Lineage: Eukaryota; Metazoa; Chordata; Mammalia; Primates; Hominidae
Description: retained intron
Source: RNAcentral
UGGAUGGAGCAAAGACAGAAGUAAAGGGUUGGAGGAGGAAGAAGCCCCCAGAUUGCUUUUUUCCCUUCAUCUGUUGUGGCCCAUCCUGAUGCCUGCCAGAUCCCCAGGUCACCUUUCAUGGAGUGGCAUUAAGGGAAGGCCAGAGGGCCCUUACCACACUGCUGCCCUGCCUCCCCUUGCUAUAGGGCAGCAGUGCCCACUCCCCGGCUGUACACAGAGGCGCUGCAAGAGAAGAUGCAGCGAGGCUUCCUAGCCCAAAAGCUGCAGCAGUACAAGCGCUUCGUGGAGAACUACCGGAGGCACAUCGUGUGUGUGGCAAUCUUCUCGGCCAUCUGUGUUGGCGUGUUUGCAGAUCGUGCUUACUACUAUGGCUUUGCCUCGCCACCCUCGGACAUUGCACAGACCACCCUCGUGGGCAUCAUCCUGUCACGAGGCACGGC